AUUGAACGCUGGCGGCAGGCCUAACACAUGCAAGUCGAGCGGAUGAAGUAGCUUGCUACUGAUUCAGCGGCGGACGGGUGAGUAAUGCCUAGGAAUCUGCCUGGUAGUGGGGGACAACGUUUCGAAAGGAACGCUAAUACCGCAUACGUCCUACGGGAGAAAGUGGGGGACCCUCGGGCCUCACGCUAUCAGAUGAGCCUAGGUCGGAUUAGCUAGUUGGUGGGGGUAAUGGCUCACCAAGGCGACGAUCCGUAACUGGUCUGAGAGGAUGAUCAGUCACACUGGAACUGAGACACGGUCCAGACUCCUACGGGAGGCAGCAGUGGGGAAUAUUGGACAAUGGGCGAAAGCCUGAUCCAGCCAUGCCGCGUGUGUGAAGAAGGUCUUCGGAUUGUAAAAGCACUUUAAGUUGGGAGGAAGGGUCGUAACCUAAUACGUUGCGAUUUUGACGUUACCAACAGAAUAAGCACGGCUAACUUCGUGCCAGCAGCC
RNAcentral lists this ribosomal RNA (492 nucleotides) under uncultured bacterium. RNAcentral's name for it is "bacterial SSU rRNA". It matches the Rfam family "Bacterial small subunit ribosomal RNA", at positions 30 to 516 of the family's 1533-position model. The record is from RNAcentral.